Molecule: ribosomal RNA, 482 nt
Filed under: uncultured bacterium
Lineage: Bacteria
Description: partial 16S ribosomal RNA
Rfam family: Bacterial small subunit ribosomal RNA
Source: RNAcentral
AUUGAACGCUGGCGGCAUGCCUUACACAUGCAAGUCGAACGGUAACAGGUCUUCGGAUGCUGACGAGUGGCGAACGGGUGAGUAAUACAUCGGAACGUGCCCGAUCGUGGGGGAUAACGGAGCGAAAGCUUUGCUAAUACCGCAUACGAUCUACGGAGGAAAGCAGGGGACCGCAAGGCCUUGCGCGGACGGAGCGGCCGAUGGCAGAUUAGGUAGUUGGUGGGAUAAAAGCUUACCAAGCCGACGAUCUGUAGCUGGUCUGAGAGGACGACCAGCCACACUGGGACUGAGACACGGCCCAGACUCCUACGGGAGGCAGCAGUGGGGAAUUUUGGACAAUGGGCGAAAGCCUGAUCCAGCCAUGCCGCGUGCAGGAUGAAGGCCUUCGGGUUGUAAACUGCUUUUGUACGGAACGAAAAGACUCUUUCUAAUAAAGAGGGUCCAUGACGGUACCGUAAGAAUAAGCACCGGCUAACUACGUG